Molecule: ribosomal RNA, 518 nt
Filed under: uncultured fungus
Lineage: Eukaryota; Fungi
Description: SSU rRNA
Rfam family: Eukaryotic small subunit ribosomal RNA
Source: RNAcentral
AUUAAAAACCAAUGCCCUUCGGGGCUCUCUGGUGAUACAUAAUAACUUCUCGAAUCGCACGGCCUUGCGCCGGCGAUGGUUCAUUCAAAUUUCUGCCCUAUCAACUUUCGACGGCUGGGUCUUGGCCAGCCGUGGUGACAACGGGUAACGGAGGGUUAGGGCUCGACCCCGGAGAAGGAGCCUGAGAAACGGCUACUACAUCCAAGGAAGGCAGCAGGCGCGCAAAUUACCCAAUCCCGACACGGGGAGGUAGUGACAAUAAAUACUGAUACAGGGCUCUUUCGGGUCUUGUAAUUGGAAUGAGUACAAUUUAAAUCCCUUAACGAGGAACAAUUGGAGGGCAAGUCUGGUGCCAGCAGCCGCGGUAAUUCCAGCUCCUAUAGCGUAUAUUAAAGUUGUUGAGGUUAAAAAGCUCGUAGUUGAACCUUGGGCCUAGCCGGCCGGUCCGCCUCACCGCGUGCACUGGCUCGGCUGGGUCUUUCCUUCUGGAGAACCGCAUGCCCUUCACUGGGUGUGCC